UACAGAGGUCUCAAGCGUUGUUCGGAUUCAUUGGGCGUAAAGGGCGCGUAGGCGGCGGGGUAAGUCGGGUGUGAAAUCUCAGAGCUCAACUCUGAAACUGCACUCGAUACUGCUCUGCUUGAGGACUGGAGAGGAGACUGGAAUUCACGGUGUAGCAGUGAAAUGCGUAGAUAUCGUGAGGAAGACCAGUGGCGAAGGCGGCUCACUGGACCAUUACUGACGCUGAUGCACGAAAGCUAGGGAAGCAAACAGG
Molecule: ribosomal RNA, 253 nt
Filed under: uncultured prokaryote
Description: partial 16S ribosomal RNA
Rfam family: Bacterial small subunit ribosomal RNA
Source: RNAcentral